Molecule: ribosomal RNA, 414 nt
Filed under: uncultured microorganism
Description: bacterial SSU rRNA
Rfam family: Archaeal small subunit ribosomal RNA
Source: RNAcentral
GUGCAGCAGUCGAGAAAACUUCACACUGUGCGAAAGCACGAUGAGGGAAUCCCAAGUGCUUGCACGUAAGUGUAAGCUGUUUCUCUGUUUAAAACGCAGAGAGAGUAAGGGCUGGGUAAGACGGGUGCCAGCCGCCGCGGUAAUACCUGCAGCUCAAGUGGUGACCGUUAUUAUUGGGCCUAAAACGUCCGUAGCCGGUUUAAUAAAUGCCUGGGUAAAUCGUGUAGCUUAACUAUACGAAUUCCGGGUAGACUGUUAAACUCGAGACCGGGAGAAGUUAGAGGUACUCCUGGGGUAGAGGUGAAAUUCUGUAAUCCUAGGGGGACCACCAGUGGCGAAGGCGUCUAACUAGAACGGGUCUGACGGUGAGGGACGAAGCCCUGGGGCGCAAACGGGAUUAGAUACCCCUGUAGU